AUUGAACGCUGGCGGCAGGCCUAACACAUGCAAGUCGAGCGGAUGAAGGGAGCUUGCUCCUGGAUCCAGCGGCGGACGGGUGAGUAAUGCCUAGGAAUCUGCCUGGUAGUGGGGGAUAACGUCCGGAAACGGGCGCUAAUACCGCAUACGUCCUGAGGGAGAAAGUGGGGGAUCUUCGGACCUCACGCUAUCAGAUGAGCCUAGGUCGGAUUAGCUAGUUGGUGGGGUAAAGGCCUACCAAGGCGACGAUCCGUAACUGGUCUGAGAGGAUGAUCAGUCACACUGGAACUGAGACACGGUCCAGACUCCUACGGGAGGCAGCAGUGGGGAAUAUUGGACAAUGGGCGAAAGCCUGAUCCAGCCAUGCCGCGUGUGUGAAGAAGGUCUUCGGAUUGUAAAGCACUUUAAGUUGGGAGGAAGGGCAGUAAGUUAAUACCUUGCCGUUUUGACGUUACCAACAGAAUAAGCACCGGCUAACUUCGUG
RNAcentral lists this ribosomal RNA (484 nucleotides) under uncultured bacterium. RNAcentral's name for it is "partial 16S ribosomal RNA". It matches the Rfam family "Bacterial small subunit ribosomal RNA", at positions 30 to 507 of the family's 1533-position model. The record is from RNAcentral.